GUCCACUCCCACACCCACCCAUCCCUGAUCCAGAUUCCCUCCACCUCCUCUCCUCUCCUCUGUCGGCCUCCCUUCCGCCACCUAUCCUCUCCUCUGCCGCCGGGAUCCCCUCCCCGUUCUUCUCCGAUUGCUGGCAUCCCCGUCUCUCCCUCUCUCCGAUCCAUGGCGGGAUCCACCACCCGGCCGAUGGUGGCUAGCCUGGGCUGCUCCUCGCCACGACGUGGAGGCAUGGCGGCGACCCUAAGGGCGAGCCUAGUGGAAGCGCGAACAGCGACUGAGGAGGCAGUGAACGAGGUGGUGCUGCGGCAGGCUGCGCUGGUGGAGGACCUGCAGGGGCGCCCGGUGGCACGGGAGGCUGAGGCGAGCGGGACGAGCAGCUGGAGCAGGACGGCAACGUCGAGCUCAGCUGGGGCCUCCUCGGUGAUGCCUACGACCGCUGCAGCGAGGGCAUAUAUACUUGAUUGGGUAUAUGGAAUCUGAAUGUCGGCGCACAUGAUCUUACUAGCUUCUAAAUCCGCUGAGCUGUACCGAUGAUGGUGUGUUUGCUACUCACACAUUUUAUCCAAAGGAUCCUUAUGUCAAAACGUUGCCCACUUCUAGGUUGCUGGUAUGUAUUUUCACACCAUAUGUACGCUUGUGCUUACCCCCAUCUGUCUCGGCACAUUCAGCCCAAAUUUGACCAAAUACUGAAGAUGGUGCACUUGUGGGUGCUACGUGCCAUGCAUCUUGGCCAAUCUCAAGGAAAUAAUCAGUAAAGGCAAUAGUGUUUAGUCGUUCGCCACAGAGAAUCGUUGGUGAUAUUAAUUAGUAUAUCUGUAAGUGCAUCUAGUGCCCCUUAGUGAUUUUGAUGUAUUGAAGACUUAUAGGUUAAGGGACUAAUGUGUUUGUGAGUGUACACAUGCUCUAUAAGUCGAUGAGGAGUUUGAUAUUUGCGAUGAAAGUCGACCCCUAAAGAUGUAUGUCUUCAGCUGAAGACUUCGGUUCUCCUAAAGAUUUUGAAAGUGAUGAAAUUGGUGUGACCUUGAAGACUUGGAUAUUCAUGCGAGGAUUAUGAAGCAUGAAGACUUUUGUUUUUGUGGUUUCAU
Molecule: RNA transcript, 1085 nt
Organism: Triticum dicoccoides
Lineage: Eukaryota; Viridiplantae; Streptophyta; Magnoliopsida; Poales; Poaceae
Exons: 2
Source: RefSeq, a predicted model, not a curated record